RNA transcript from Helicoverpa zea (corn earworm), 2197 nucleotides. It is a transcript of the gene named aspartate aminotransferase, mitochondrial, with no coding region annotated. The record is from RefSeq and is a predicted model, not a curated record. NCBI's taxonomy places the organism in Eukaryota, Metazoa, Arthropoda, Insecta, Lepidoptera, Noctuidae. The transcript is spliced from 11 exons.
UCUGAAAACCGUUCAAAACUGUUCAAAUUUCAGGUUCUAAAAUGUGACGCGAGUAACAUAUAAAAAAAAAAUAGAAAUAAAAUAAAACUACAAUGGAGUACAUGGGAUAAAGAUUAUGGGACUUUGUAAUCUUCCGUGGUGAUCGCUACCUACAGCUACACUUGCUCAACGGCAGAUAAGCGCAGCGGUAUUGCUGCGGUGGAACUUUAAUUAGUUUACUCGUGCAGAAGCCACAGCUGGUGUCAGACAGUAUUAAAAAUGCCUCCCUCUAUGUCGUUGACGGCUCAAGUGUUAGCAAGGAAUACCAAUGUGCCUAUCUUUUACGCAGCCUCGAGGGCUGCCAGUUCUUUCUGGGGCAAAGUUCCUAUGGGACCCCCGGACGUCAUCCUGGGCAUCACGGAAGCUUACAAGAAAGACAAACACCCUAAGAAAGUGAAUCUGGGUGUUGGUGCGUACAGAGACGAUGAAGGAAAACCUUUCAUCUUGCCAUCAGUGAGGAAGGCAGAAGAGCUGAUCUACAGCAAAUGCAUGAAUCACGAGUAUGCACCGAUUGCUGGGGAGGCAGUAUACACCAAAGCUGUGGCUGAACUGGCCUUCGGACAAUGCAGUUUAGCACUCAAAGAGAAAACCAACUGCACAGUACAGACACUAUCCGGUACUGGGGCCCUCCGACUAGGACUGGAGUUCAUUACAAAGCAUUACGAGCAGGUGAAGGAAGUCUGGUUCCCCACCCCCACUUGGGGCAACCACCCUCAGAUCUGUAACACUCUCAAGCUGCCCCACAAGAAGUACCGCUACUAUGACCCCAAGACGCAUGGCUUCAACCUGCAGGGUGCCUGCGAAGAUAUCUGUUCAAUGCCCGAAGGUUCCAUCAUUCUUCUGCACGCCUGUGCACACAACCCCACUGGUGUCGACCCCAAAAAGGAAGAGUGGCAAACUCUGUCGAAGAUUAUCAAAGAGAAGAAGUUGCUGCCAUUCUUCGACAUGGCGUACCAAGGAUUUGCCACCGGCAACGUUGACAACGACGCCUAUGCCGUACGUCUCUUUGAAAAGGAAGGCCACCAACUGAUGCUUGCACAGAGUUUUGCUAAGAACAUGGGUUUGUACGGAGAGCGUGUGGGAGCUCUCACCUUCCUUUGUGGGGACCCCGACACUGCCGCCAACAUGAUGUCCCAGCUCAAGAUCAUGAUCCGCACCAUGUACUCCAACCCCUCCAUCAAUGGAUCCCGCCUCGUCACAGAAAUCCUCACCUCCCCCGAACUCAAGAAAGAAUGGUUAGAGGAUGUCAAACUCAUGGCCGACCGUAUCAUCACAAUGCGCAAACGCCUGCGCUCUGGUAUCGAGAAGCACGGCAACAAGAACAACUGGAAACACAUUACUGACCAGAUCGGCAUGUUCUGCUACACUGGACUCAAGCCCAAUGAGGUUGAGCGUCUUACUAAGGAAUUCCACAUUUACCUGACGAAGGACGGCCGUAUCUCCGUAGCUGGCAUCUCUUCAAAUAACGUCGAUUACAUAGCUGAGGCAAUGCACAAGGUCACCAGCAAAUAAUAGGGUACUUGUUCUUUUUAUUAUUUUAAGCCUGCAACAUUGCUUUUAAAAUGCAAAGAGUAUUUACAAAACUGCGGGUUUCUAUAUCCGGUCUAUCCAUUGUUUAAUCGGAAUUAGAGUUUGGAUUUUAACAUUUGAAUCAUGUCAAUUGUCAAUCCCUCCGUCCCCCCUGUAAUUCUUUUGAAGGAAACUGUAACAGUGGUAGUUGGAGCAAUUCUGCGUUUUUUAUUCUGUUGAUUUUAGAUAGCACCAUAAAUUUAAAAUAUAUCUGUCAUAUUAUUCCAGUUAUGUGAAGCAUACAUUUAUAUCGGAAUUACUGUUUUUCAGCUACACAUUAACCGACUUAGUCAAUUGUGUCGUGCAGUACCGUUGCGUCGCGACGUUUCCGAGAUUACUUCAACGUACCGAGAGAACACAGUAUUUAUAAAACCAGCUUGUUUUUAAUUAUUAUUUUUCUAUUUGCUUUUAUCAUAUACUUUUAUAUCUAUUUUAUUUUUAAAUUAAAAAACGUAACCCUCUUAUUCAUAAAAUAUCCCUUGAAUUUAAUAUUUUUUUAAACUGUCUUAGUCAUAUUUAAGUUUAUGAUGUGAUAAGUGAAGCAUUUGCAAUAACUUUAUGAAUAAGGGGCUACAUAUUUGAAACAGAA